UACGUAGGGGGCAAGCGUUGUCCGGAAUCAUUGGGCGUAAAGCGCGUGUAGGCGGCCCGGUAAGUCCGCUGUGAAAGUCGGGGGCUCAACCCUCGAAUGCCGGUGGAUACUGUCGGGCUAGAGUGCGGAAGAGGCGAGUGGAAUUCCUGGUGUAGCGGUGAAAUGCGCAGAUAUCAGGAGGAACACCAAUGGCGAAGGCAGAUCUCUGGGCCGUAACUGACGCUGAGGAGCGAAAGCAUGGGGAGCGAACAGG
This 253-nucleotide ribosomal RNA is filed under the name uncultured bacterium. Its description in RNAcentral is "partial 16S ribosomal RNA". It matches the Rfam family "Bacterial small subunit ribosomal RNA", at positions 524 to 776 of the family's 1533-position model. The record is from RNAcentral.